This 1323-nucleotide long non-coding RNA is filed under the name Brassica rapa (field mustard). Its description in RNAcentral is "long non-coding RNA (BRAP_LNC002093)". The record is from RNAcentral. Lineage: Eukaryota; Viridiplantae; Streptophyta; Magnoliopsida; Brassicales; Brassicaceae.
CUCCGGCUCAGGCUCCGGUGAACGCGUGAAUGUGACGGCUGUAGCCGGAUGCGCUCGUUCUUCUUUCCUUCGUCUUCCUUUUUACUUCUCCAUGGCCACUCGCUUCCGACAUAUCGCAGGUUCUGGUGUAGAGGUUCUAAUCGGUGGAGGCUCUGCUCGCGAAGGGCUCAUCGCCGGUGACGUCUCAGCUGCAAGCUUCGGUGAGGUUCGUGAAGAGGUGGUUCAUGGAGGAGCCGGCUUUUUGAGAUGGGAGUAGAUCGAUUUUCAGUUUUCAGAUCUACAAUUCCUCUCCGCCAUUGGCUUGAAGUGAAGGGCUGAAGCUCCGCUCCUGUCUCGUGGUGGUCUCCGCCGCUCUAGGGCUGUGGUUUCAGUCUUCUUCUCGGGUUUAGAGUUUGUGCCCCUUUCGGUGUCGGAGAGGUACAGCUCUGGUUCUCAUUAGUUAGGUGGUCUCUUAUGGUUUUCAACUCAGAGGCGGGUCUUCGACAGCUUGGUACGUAAGUGGUAUUGGUGCAGUGCUCUCCUUAGGCUCGUGUGGGUGAGGUUUGUAGAUGUAUCCUCCGUUCACCGGUGGAUUUCGAAGGUUUUCUAUGGCCUUUGGAGGCUGCGGGUCUUGCUUCUUGCUUCGUUAUCUCGGAUCUUUUUGUCAAGGCACUCGUCAUAGUCCUUCCGGGUGUUAAAAGGCCUCUUAUCACUUGGCUUGUACUCCUUGUUUCAUCGGCAUUUACUUGUCCGUUGACACCGGUACAUGGGUUUCACAACUUAGACUUUGAUCUUUGGUUCUCGGAGAUCACAAAUGUGGAGAUGGUUCUCGGGAGAGUCAUUGACCGUCUCCGUGUCAACAUUUGGUCUUAGUUCGCCUCCUGAACCCUAAGAGUUCGCUUGAUCUGUUAUGGUGGUGUUCUGGGUCUUUCCUUGUAGGUUUAGGAGUAUUCUGGGCAGGAUGUGGCAGUUAGGUCAUCUCGCUUUUUGUUUGGUUCGUGGCGGCAUUGAAGGUUGUCUAGCUGGUUUCUCGGACUUCUCGGUAAGGGUAACCUUCCUCUCUUGCUCGUCUAGCACUUCAUGGACAGUAACGUUUGUAAGCUUCGAGGUGUUCAUCGGUCGCUAGCUAUUCCGGAGACGACAUAGGAAUUUCCGGCAUCCGAAGCAACGAGGAGAAUUUCACUUGGUCAUCGUUGAUGGUUGAGAACGGCGACCGAUUCCUAAAGAUAAUAAAAACGAUCUAGCGAAAUGUGCUUGGUUUAAUGGGUGGACGAAACUAGGUUGUAAUACUUAGAAUUGAGAAAUUUUGUUCAAAUCGAGGUUGUAAACAAAUCUGAAUCCCCG